UCCUGCCAGUAGUGUACGCUUCUCCUAAAGACUAAGCCAUGCAUGCUUUCGAAUACGAGGUAGCAAUACUCUCUGAAUCUGCGAACGGCUCCGCACACCAGUUGUAAACUAUAGCAAGCAUGUCCGGAUCCCCCUCACGGGGGAGCUGGGCGAUAAGGAUAACCCUGGUAAUUCUGAGGCUAAUACUAGACCAUACAACUCGACUGACCGGGCAACUGGGAGGUCGGGGGGCGUGUGUUUUGCCGCAAGAUGCGCCGGGAAAGGAUGCACGUUCUGACCGCGACAAAAACGUGCUGGUUUCCAGCACGAGCGGCUCUUGCAAUGUGCUUCUGACCUAUCAACUAGAUGGCAGCGUAACGGACAUGCUAUGGUUGCAACGGGUACAGAGGAUUAGGGUUCGAUCCUGGAGAGUGGGCCUGAGAGAUUGCUCACACUUCUAAGGAAGGCAGCAGGCGCGCAACGUUCCCAUUGGACAAAGUCCGAGGGCGUUAGGGGAAAUAUGAAUGCUUGCCAUUGGUAGGCAAUUCAAAUGGGUCUGUUCUAAACAGCCUAUCGAGUAACAA
This 563-nucleotide ribosomal RNA is filed under the name Diderma pseudotestaceum. RNAcentral's name for it is "bacterial SSU rRNA". It matches the Rfam family "Eukaryotic small subunit ribosomal RNA", at positions 12 to 547 of the family's 1831-position model. Lineage: Eukaryota; Evosea; Eumycetozoa; Physariida; Didymiaceae. The record is from RNAcentral.